Molecule: long non-coding RNA, 567 nt
Organism: Alnus glutinosa
Lineage: Eukaryota; Viridiplantae; Streptophyta; Magnoliopsida; Fagales; Betulaceae
Exons: 3
Source: RefSeq, a predicted model, not a curated record
AGAGCAAACCUCUUUCCAUCAGACCCGAGAGAGAAACAAAAUAAAAUGGAGACAUUUUCCUUAAGCUUUUUUCAUACAAAAACCUUGAUCCACGAAGAUCCAACGGUCCGAUCUUCGAUCCGUCUUCGAAAAUGUGAUCCUUGCACUCGGAUCUACGUUUCUACCGAUUGGUUUGAGGAUGUGUUAUGAAGAUCUUGCUAAACACUCUCCAAGUGUUGGAUUUACAUUUGGUGAAAUUUUUGAUGUUCCUUUGGCUGCAGGUACUCCGGUCAUAGGGGAGAGUGUUGUAGAUGUGCACUUGGGAUAAUAUGACCGAAGCUCGCCGCGACAGUCGUAAUGGUUGGACCACAGUUGUCCACUAUUUUAUAGGUUUUGUUUAUGGCUGGUGACGCUUUAGUCACUUGUUAUUGUAUAAGCCAUUCCUGUUGUUUAAAUAUUAUGUUGAUAGGACUUAAACAUAUAGAUGUUAAAUGGCUCUGUAUUGUAAAUAAUUUGUAAUAUAUUUAUAAGCUAUGCUUUUUGCUAUAUUCAGGUUUAUGUUUCCGCUGCAUAGUUAGUUAUAUGUUA